GUAGCAGGCCAACCUAUCGCGGUUUAAUUUAUUAAAACGAGGAAAGUCCGGACACCAUAGUGCAGUAUAGCGGGUAACGCCCGUCCGCCGAGAGGUGAGGACAAGUGCAACAGAAAGCAAGUACAGUUCGGCUGUAGUGAAACCAGGUAAACUCUAUACGGUGAAACGUCAUGUAAACCGACGUUUGAGGGCGGCACGCCCAAGUCGAAGGGUAGGCGGUUAGAUCCUUUGGGUAACUAAGGGCCUAGAUAAAUGAUAGGUAAUUUAGAACGCAGUUCUAGAUACAGAAUCCGGCUUAUGGCCUGCUUUUUCA
RNAcentral lists this RNase P RNA (313 nucleotides) under Maribacter sp. 4U21. RNAcentral describes it as "Bacterial RNase P class A". It matches the Rfam family "Bacterial RNase P class A". Rfam says of the family: Ribonuclease P (RNase P) is a ubiquitous endoribonuclease, found in archaea, bacteria and eukarya as well as chloroplasts and mitochondria. Its best characterised activity is the generation of mature 5'-ends of tRNAs by cleaving the 5'-leader elements of precursor-tRNAs. Lineage: Bacteria; Pseudomonadati; Bacteroidota; Flavobacteriia; Flavobacteriales; Flavobacteriaceae. The record is from Rfam by way of RNAcentral.